RNAcentral lists this ribosomal RNA (479 nucleotides) under uncultured bacterium. Its description in RNAcentral is "bacterial SSU rRNA". It matches the Rfam family "Bacterial small subunit ribosomal RNA", at positions 26 to 518 of the family's 1533-position model. The record is from RNAcentral.
AGGACGAACGCUGGCGGCGUGCCUAACACAUGCAAGUCGAACGGAGUAAGGGUUCGAUUCUUACUUAGUGGCGAACGGGUGAGUAACGCGUGAACAGCCUGCCUUCCUGAGGGGGGAUAACACCUGGAAACAAGUGCUAAUACCGCAUAAGACCACAUAUCCGCAUGGAUGAGGGGUCAAAGGAGCAAUCCGCAGGGAGAGGGGUUCGCGUCCCAUUAGCUAGUUGGCGGGGCAACGGCCCACCAAGGCGACGAUGGGUAGCCGAGCUGAGAGGCUGAUCGGCCACACUGGAACUGAGACACGGUCCAGACUCCUACGGGAGGCAGCAGUGGGGAAUAUUGGGCAAUGGGCGCAAGCCUGACCCAAGCAACGCCGCGUGAGGGAAGAAGGUCUUCGGAUUGUAAACCUCUGUCCUAUGUGACGAAGGAAGUGACGGUAGCAUAGGAGGAAGCCCCGGCUAACUACGUGCCAGCCGCUGC